AUUGAACACUAGGGGAGCCAUUAAGUGGCUGAGACGAAAAAUUCGGACCCUUUGAACCUGAUCUGGUUAACACUAGCGUAGGGAAGUGGUAAGAGAGCGAA
This is a regulatory RNA element of Gracilibacillus kekensis, 101 nucleotides long. It matches the Rfam family "TPP riboswitch aptamer (THI element)". From Rfam's summary of the family: Vitamin B(1) in its active form thiamin pyrophosphate (TPP) is an essential coenzyme that is synthesised by coupling of pyrimidine and thiazole moieties in bacteria. NCBI's taxonomy places the organism in Bacteria, Bacillati, Bacillota, Bacilli, Caryophanales, Bacillaceae. The record is from Rfam.